RNAcentral lists this long non-coding RNA (286 nucleotides) under Chinchilla lanigera (long-tailed chinchilla). Its description in RNAcentral is "lncRNA (ENSCLAG00000026295.1)". Lineage: Eukaryota; Metazoa; Chordata; Mammalia; Rodentia; Chinchillidae. The record is from RNAcentral.
GAUGAGAACAUGUGGUAUCCGUCUCUCUGUGCCUGGUUUAUUUCUGUUCAGCAGAAAAUUCUUGAGAGAAGACGUCUUGCUCCCUAGAUAUGUGGGAUCGCUUUCGUUCUCAUCUGUCUGUCUUUCCUUCCUGCCCCAUCACCCCCAUCUGUCUUUUUUCCUUACUUCUCCCUUCCCCAUCUGCUCAUUGCUCAAGAUUCAUCCAUUAACCCUUUUUCCUUCAGCACAGUACGCAGCGCUGGUUCCCUCUGCAAGAGAAAACACCAACCCAUCAGACAUCUUCUGA